UCUCCGUAGGUGAACCUGCGGAGGGAUCAUUACUGAGUGAGGGCCUCCCCUGCCCGACCUCCAACCCUUUGUGAACACAACUUGUUGCUUCGGGGGCGACCCUGCCGCUUCGACGGCGAGCGCCCCCGGAGACCUUCAAACACUGCAUCUUUGCGUCGGAGUGUAAGUAAAUUUAAACAAAACUUUCAACAACGGAUCUCUUGGUUCUGGCAUCGAUGAAGAACGCAGC
Molecule: unclassified non-coding RNA, 229 nt
Filed under: uncultured fungus
Lineage: Eukaryota; Fungi
Description: sequence contains ITS1, 5.8S rRNA gene
Rfam family: 5.8S ribosomal RNA (bases 181-229)
Source: RNAcentral